UUACCCCUGAUUGUCGUUGGGUGAGGGCUAGUAGGCGGUAGUAGGGUAGGUGGGAAUUCUGGGGUAGAGGUAGAAGACGGAUGAUAUGAGGAAGAACCCCGGGGAAGGAGGAUGUUUUUUGGGCAUUGAGGCUGAGGAGAGAAAAAGAGGGGGGAGCGAACGGGUUGAGAUCCCGAGUGAGUACACAGUGAUAAGGGGUGGAAACUGGGUGUGGGCAACUUUACAUGUUGUCGGUGCCGCAGCUAGGCCUUUAAGUUCCCCGCUUGGGGAUAGCGGCGGCAGAGGCUAAAGUUCAAGGGAUUGGAGGGGGGCCGGCACAAGCGGGGGAUCAUGUGGCUAAAUUGGAGGCAACGGGAAGAACCUUACCAGGGCUUGACAUACACCGGAAACGUCUGGAGACGGGCGCCCCCUUGUGGUCGGUGUACAGGUGGUGCAUGGCUGUCGUCAGCUCGUGUCGUGAGAUGUUGGGUUAAGUCCCGCAACGAGCGCAACCCUUGUCCUGUGUUGCCAGCAUGCCCUUCGGGGUGAUGGGGACUCACAGGAGACCGCCGGGGUCAACUCGGAGGAAGGUGGGGACGACGUCAAGUCAUCAUGCCCCUUAUGUCUUGGGUGGCACACGUGGUACAAUGGCCGGUACAAUGAGCUGCGAUACCGUGAGGUGGAGCGAAUCUCAAAAAGCCGGUCUCAGUUCGGAUUGGGGUCUGCAACUCGACCCCAUGAAGUCGGAGUUGCUAGUAAUCGCAGAUCAGCAUUGCUGCGGUGAAUACGUUCCCGGGCCUUGUACACACCGCCCGUCACGUCACGAAAGUUGGUAACACCCGAAGCCGGUGGCCCAACCCCUGGGGAGGGAGCUUGAAGUGAUGCAUGAAA
This 870-nucleotide ribosomal RNA is filed under the name Streptomyces sp. JS-23. RNAcentral describes it as "bacterial SSU rRNA". It matches the Rfam family "Bacterial small subunit ribosomal RNA", at positions 610 to 1474 of the family's 1533-position model. The record is from RNAcentral. Lineage: Bacteria; Bacillati; Actinomycetota; Actinomycetes; Kitasatosporales; Streptomycetaceae.